This 1518-nucleotide long non-coding RNA is filed under the name Struthio camelus australis. Its description in RNAcentral is "lncRNA (ENSSCUG00000014812.1)". Lineage: Eukaryota; Metazoa; Chordata; Aves; Struthioniformes; Struthionidae. The record is from RNAcentral.
AGAGCUCAAGAAGUGUCAAACAGCACUUGGGAGAGGAAGAAGAUAAGGAAAGUGAAGAGCAACCGUUUUCCAGCAUGCACUCCUCGCUCCAGCAACCAGACACUCCCUUAGCCUGGCGGAUAGGGAUGGUGCAGCAGCCUGGACACACAUGGCAGACAGCCACCUGGCCCACACAGGAGCUGAAAUCAGGUGGCAGCUGCUUGCUCUGCAGAGGUGGCUCAGGCAGCACACCUCCAUGCAGUUAUGGAAGGCACCUCUCUCUGCACCAGGCUUGGUCCAGUCCAGGGAAUGGUUGUGGCCUUGCCAAGAAGAAGGGAUUUGAGACCCAGCAAGUCUGUCACCUGCUGAGUAGGUCUGCAGCUUCCCAAGUGGGGAACUUGGGAUCUCCAUGGGAUCUGCCUCUGCCUGAUGCCAGCACUACUCAUCUAGGAUACGAAACAACCUGGGCUGGACCCAGAGACACACUGCAGAAAGCAAAGGGACAAGAUGGGAGCCUGAAGAAAUAUGCAACUCCCUAAGGCCAUUUUUCUCUAGUUACUCUCAUCCCUGGCUGGAGGAAGGCGCGCUCUGAGUGGCAUAGUAAUAUUUACACCUUGUACCAGGGCUAGCAGGAGUAGGACUGGGUGCAGGGCCAGGGGCCAAACCAGUGUCCUGCAGGAAUGCUGAGAUAGCAUAGGUUCAAGAAGGGCUGAGGACACUGCAAGCAGUUCCUGAGUGUGAGUAAAGAGAACCCUGUAAGGUAACGCAGCCAUGCUCCCCUGGAAAACCAUUAUUGCGUGGAAGGGGGCAAUGGGACUGGGCUGCAGCUGGCCUGAUGCCCUUUAAAAUUAAGCUUUAAUUAAGAAACAGCAGGAAGAGGCUAAAAAAAGCCCCACAAAACAUGCAAGUGUGCACCCCCAAAGAUGUGAUCUGUUCCCCUAAAUGCAGGAGGAGGAUACCUCGUGAGACGAGUGCUAGGCAACUGUCCACACCUUGCUCUGCAACGUGGAAAUGCAGCAGCUCUCUGUAUGUGCCUCCCUCUCCUGUUAGCAGGAGCAAGUCACCUCCCUUCAGGGCAGGGACAGGCUUGGGACUGGCACUUUUGGAAGCAGCCCAGCUUGGGCUGAAGGCUUGGCCAGGCUUGUAAGGAAGGUGGGGGAAGGUAAAUCAGACACCCACCUUAGGGACAGAAAUGUCCUCACACUAAACCCCCCUCCCUUGGGACCCCAACAGAGCAGUCCUGCACUGGCAUGAGUUUGACAGGUCUUCCUUACACCCAGCACUUCCACGGUCGCUGGCCCCAUCAGGCAGCAGGGAAGGGUUAAGAGCUGCAGCCUGGAGGGACUUUGCACCCAAAUUUGGGGUUUUGCAAGAAGUUGUCACAAAAGGCUGAGCGGAGACAGAAAUAUUUCCAUGAUGUAUCCCAUUCGUUUGUAAUUCCAAAUGAAACGGUUUCCUUUUAAACAAACAAACUGUUCCCUGCAGCACUAGCAGUCGGACACACACCACAGAGCUAGGCCGGUGCUGGUGAGCAGUGUG